GACGAACGCUGGCGGCGUGCCUAACACAUGCAAGUCGAACGGGGUAAAGAGCUUCGGUUUUUUACUUAGUGGCGAACGGGUGAGUAACGCGUGAGAGACCUGCCUCUCAGUGGGGGACAACAGUUGGAAACGACUGCUAAUACCGCAUAACAUAUUCGAAGGGCAUCCUUUGGAUAUCAAAGCUUUAUGUGCUGAGAGAUGGUCUCGCGUCUGAUUAGAUAGUUGGUGAGGUAACGGCUCACCAAGUCGACGAUCAGUAGCCGGUCUGAGAGGAUGAACGGCCACAUUGGGACCUGAGAUACGGCCCAG
Molecule: ribosomal RNA, 309 nt
Filed under: uncultured bacterium
Lineage: Bacteria
Description: bacterial SSU rRNA
Rfam family: Bacterial small subunit ribosomal RNA
Source: RNAcentral